GGGGUGGUAGCUCAGCAGUAGAGUGCUUGCCUUGCAAGCAGGAGAUACUGGGUUCAAUCCUUGGCACCAUA
This 71-nucleotide transfer RNA is filed under the name Ictidomys tridecemlineatus (thirteen-lined ground squirrel). Its description in RNAcentral is "Spermophilus tridecemlineatus (thirteen-lined ground squirrel) tRNA". It matches the Rfam family "tRNA". From Rfam's summary of the family: Transfer RNA (tRNA) molecules are approximately 80 nucleotides in length. Their secondary structure includes four short double-helical elements and three loops (D, anti-codon, and T loops). Further hydrogen bonds mediate the characteristic L-shaped molecular structure. tRNAs have two regions of fundamental functional importance: the anti-codon, which is responsible for specific mRNA codon recognition, and the 3' end, to which the tRNAs corresponding amino acid is attached (by aminoacyl-tRNA synthetases). tRNAs cope with the degeneracy of the genetic code in two manners: having more than one tRNA (with a specific anti-codon) for a particular amino acid; and 'wobble' base-pairing, i.e. permitting non-standard base-pairing at the 3rd anti-codon position. The record is from Rfam by way of RNAcentral. Lineage: Eukaryota; Metazoa; Chordata; Mammalia; Rodentia; Sciuridae.